UCCCUAGUGGUCUAGUGGUUAUGACUUGGUGCUUUCACUGCUGUGGCCCAGGUUCAAUCCCUGGUCUGGGAA
This 72-nucleotide transfer RNA is filed under the name Sus scrofa (pig). It matches the Rfam family "tRNA". Rfam says of the family: Transfer RNA (tRNA) molecules are approximately 80 nucleotides in length. Lineage: Eukaryota; Metazoa; Chordata; Mammalia; Artiodactyla; Suidae. The record is from Rfam by way of RNAcentral.